GUUAGUGGAUUUAGUUGGGUGUAGGUAAAUAUAAGUACCUAAUGAUAAAAAAUUACAAUGUGUGGUAGAGACCCCUAAAACGUAACGGAAAAUUCUGAAAAAAAAAAAAAUUACAACUGUUUUUUUUUUAUGCGCAGAGAACAUUUUUAGAGGUUGCCACAUAGAAUAUUUAAUUAAAUAAAAUAAGGAUCAGCCUAAAAAGCAUAAAACUCUACUACAUACUUAAGUACAUAAGUACUUAUUUGGCGCGACGACCCAAAGUGAGUCUUGGCCUCCAACACAAGAGCACGCCACUUUACGCGGUCCAGAGCGACCUUCCGCCAGCCCUGACGACAACAUUGACGCUGAGUCUAUCUGCCCAACGAUAUUUAGGAUGGCCAGCAGAAGUCCAGUUGGACAACCCAGAUAGGCCUUCUAGACUGCCUGAUCCUCAGCCUUACAAUCAAUUGCCGGUGCAUCAAAAAGCAGCUGCAGCUCCAGCCGUCCAGUGUACAAUAAAGAUGGCGUCGCUGUUUCCAAAAUCGACUUCCAAUCGAGCUACAAACCAAUAUCAGUAAAAAAUACUGAAACAGAC
Molecule: unclassified non-coding RNA, 574 nt
Filed under: Leguminivora glycinivorella
Lineage: Eukaryota; Metazoa; Arthropoda; Insecta; Lepidoptera; Tortricidae
Description: uncharacterized LOC125238706, transcript variant X2
Source: RNAcentral